AGUAAUACAUCGGAACGUGCCCAGUCGUGGGGGAUAGCCCGGCGAAAGCCGGAUUAAUACCGCAUACGACCUGAGGGUGAAAGCGGGGGACCUGCAAGGGCCUCGCGCGAUUGGAGCGGCCGAUGUCAGAUCAGGUUGUUGGUGGGGUAAAAGCCUACCAAGCCGACGAUCUGUAGCUGGUCUGAGAGGACGACCAGCCACACUGGGACUGAGACACGGCCCAG
This 224-nucleotide ribosomal RNA is filed under the name uncultured bacterium. Its description in RNAcentral is "partial 16S ribosomal RNA". It matches the Rfam family "Bacterial small subunit ribosomal RNA", at positions 109 to 334 of the family's 1533-position model. The record is from RNAcentral.